UGGGGAAUAUUGGACAAUGGGCGAAAGCCUGAUCCAGCCAUGCCCGCGUGUGUGAAGAAGGCCUUUUGGUUGUAAAGCACUUUAAGUGGGGAGGAAAAGCUUAUGGUUAAUACCCAUAAGCCCUGACGUUACCCACAGAAUAAGCACCGGCUAACUCUGUGCCAGCAGCCGCGGUAAUACAGAGGGUGCAAGCGUUAAUCGGAAUUACUGGGCGUAAAGCGCGCGUAGGUGGUUAUUUAAGUCAGAUGUGAAAGCCCCGGGCUUAACCUGGGAACUGCAUCUGAUACUGGAUAACUAGAGUAGGUGAGAGGGGAGUAGAAUUCCAGGUGUAGCGGUGAAAUGCGUAGAGAUCUGGAGGAAUACCGAUGGCGAAGGCAGCUCCCUGGCAUCAUACUGACACUGAGGUGCGAAAGCGUGGGUAGCAAACAGGAUUAGAUACCCUGGUAGUCCACGCCGUAAACGAUGUCUACCAGUCGUUGGGUCUUUUAAAGACUUAGUGACGCAGUUAACGCAAUAAGUAGACCGCCUGGGGAGNACAGCCGCAAGGUUA
RNAcentral lists this ribosomal RNA (550 nucleotides) under uncultured bacterium. Its description in RNAcentral is "bacterial SSU rRNA". It matches the Rfam family "Bacterial small subunit ribosomal RNA", at positions 355 to 896 of the family's 1533-position model. The record is from RNAcentral.